Molecule: ribosomal RNA, 253 nt
Filed under: uncultured bacterium
Lineage: Bacteria
Description: partial 16S ribosomal RNA
Rfam family: Bacterial small subunit ribosomal RNA
Source: RNAcentral
UACGUAGGGUGGAAGCGUUGUCCGGAAGCAUGGGGCGUAAAGAGCUCGUAGGCGGUUUGUCGCGUCUGCUGUGAAAACCUAGGGCUUAACCCUGGGCCUGCAGUGGGUACGGGCAGACUAGAGUGCGGUAGGGGAGACUGGAAUUCCUGGUGUAGCGGUGAAAUGCGCAGAUAUCAGGAGGAACACCGGUGGCGAAGGCGGGUCUCUGGGCCGUAACUGACGCUGAGGAGCGAAAGCAUGGGGAGCGAACAGG